GACGUAGGGCGCGAGCGUUGUCCGGAUUUAUUGGGCGUAAAGAGCUCGUAGGCGGCUCGUUGCGUCGGCUGUGAAAACCCGCAGCUCAACUGUGGGCUUGCAGCCGAUACGGGCGGGCUGGGAUUCGGUAGGGGAGACUGUAAUUCCUGGUGUAGCGGUGAAAUGCGCAGAUAUCAGGAGGAACACCGGUGGCGAAGGCGGGUCUCUGGGCCGAUAUCGACGCUGAGGAGCGAAAGCGUGGGGAGCGAACAGG
RNAcentral lists this ribosomal RNA (253 nucleotides) under uncultured bacterium. RNAcentral describes it as "partial 16S ribosomal RNA". It matches the Rfam family "Bacterial small subunit ribosomal RNA", at positions 524 to 776 of the family's 1533-position model. The record is from RNAcentral.